RNAcentral lists this ribosomal RNA (2900 nucleotides) under Clostridioides difficile. RNAcentral describes it as "23S ribosomal RNA". It matches the Rfam family "Bacterial large subunit ribosomal RNA". Lineage: Bacteria; Bacillati; Bacillota; Clostridia; Peptostreptococcales; Peptostreptococcaceae. The record is from RNAcentral.
UGGUCAAGUUAUUAAGGGUGCAGGGCGGAUGCCUUGGCACUAGGAGCCGAUGAAGGACGUGAUAAGCUGCGAUAAGCUUCGGGGAGUUGCACGUAAACUUUGAUCCGAAGAUUUCCGAAUGAGGAAACUCACUUAGAGUAAUGUCUAAGUAUCAUUAAGUGAAUACAUAGCUUAAUGAGGGGAACUCAGGGAACUGAAACAUCUAAGUACCUGAAGGAAGAGAAAGAAAUUCGAUUCCGUAAGUAGCGGCGAGCGAACGCGGAUUAGCCCAAACCAAUAAAGUUUUCUUUAUUGGGGUUGCGGACAUAUCAUAACGAAGAGGUAUCGUAAUUGAAGAGGUUUGGAAAGACCCACCACAGAAGGUAAUAGUCCUGUAUGUUAAACGAGAAGACUUUAGAUAUGAUCCAGAGUACCACGGGACACGUGAAACCCUGUGGGAAGCAGGAGGGACCACCCUCCAAGGCUAAAUACUACCUAGUGACCGAUAGCGUAUAGUACCGUGAGGGAAAGGUGAAAAGAACCCCGAGAGGGGAGUGAAAUAGAACCUGAAACCCUGCACUUACAAGCUGUGGAAGCACAUUUCUUGUGUGACCGCGUACUUUUUGUAGAACGGGCCAACGAGUUACGUUAAGUAGCAAGGUUAAGCACUUAAGGUGUGGAGCCGUAGCGAAAGCGAGUUUUAACUGAGCGUUCAGUUACUUGACGUAGACCCGAAACCGGGCGACCUACCCAUGAGCAGGAUGAAGCGAAAGUAAAAUUUCGUGGAGGUCCGAACCCACGAGCGUUGAAAAGCUCGGGGAUGACUUGUGGGUAGCGGUGAAAUUCCAAUCGAGCCCGGAGAUAGCUGGUUCUCCCCGAAAUAGCUUUAGGGCUAGCCUCAAGGUGAGAGAUACGGAGGUAGAGCACUGAAUGUCCUAGGGGGUAUUGCACCUACCGAAGACUAUCAAACUCCGAAUGCCGUCAUCUUAUACUUGGGAGUCAGACUGUGGGUGAUAAGAUUCAUAGUCGAAAGGGCAACAGCCCAGAUCGUCAGCUAAGGUCCCUAAAUGUAAGUUAAGUGGUAAAGGAUGUGGGAUUGCACAGACAACCAGGAUGUUGGCUUAGAAGCAGCCACUCAUUCAAAGAGUGCGUAAUAGCUCACUGGUCGAGUGAUCCUGCGCCGAAGAUUUCCGGGGCUAAAACUUACUACCGAAGCUACGGCAUCAGUAAUGAUGGGUAGGGGAGCUUCCCAUACGGGUUGAAGCAUGACCGUAAGGACAUGUGGACAGUAUGGGAGUGAGAAUGUUGGCAUGAGUAGCGAGAUGUGGGUGAGAAUCCCACAGGCCGUAAACCCAAGGUUUCCAGGGGAAGGUUCGUCCGCCCUGGGUUAGUCGGGACCUAAGCUGAGGCCGAAAGGCGUAGGUGAUGGACAACAGGUUGAUAUUCCUGUACUACCGAUAACCGUUUGAGAGAAGGGAUGACACAGUAGGAUAAGCUAAGCACACUGUUGGUUAUGUGUGCCCAAGCAUUGAGGCAGUCAAAGUAGGCAAAUCCGCUUUGAUAAUGCUGGGAUGUGAUGGGGAGCGAAAUUUAGUAGCGAAGUAGCUGAUUUCACACUGUCAAGAAAAGUCUCUAUCGAGGUUAAAGGUACCCGUACCGCAAACCGACACAGGUGGGUGAGGAGAGUAUCCUAAGGCCAGCGAGAGAACUGUUGUUAAGGAACUCGGCAAAAUGACCCCGUAACUUAGGGAUAAGGGGUGCCACCAUCAGGUGGCCGCAGAGAAUAGGCCCAAGCGACUGUUUACCAAAAACAUAGGUUUCUGCUAAGUCGCAAGACGAUGUAUAGGAGCUGACGCCUGCCCGGUGCUGGAAGGUUAAGGGGAUCUGUUAGAGCAAUCGAAGCAGUGAACUUAAGCCCCAGUAAACGGCGGCCGUAACUAUAACGGUCCUAAGGUAGCGAAAUUCCUUGUCGGGUAAGUUCCGACCCGCACGAAAGGCGUAACGAUUUGGGCACUGUCUCAACAACAGACUCGGUGAAAUUGUAAUUCCGGUGAAGAUGCCGGAUACCUGCGACAGGACGGAAAGACCCCAUGGAGCUUUACUGUAGCUUGACAUUGGGUCUUGGUACUACAUGUACAGGAUAGGUGGGAGGCUUUGAAACCAGGACGCCAGUUUUGGCGGAGCCAUCCUUGGGAUACCACCCUUGUAGUACUGGGACUCUAACCAUAGGCCAUGAAUCUGGUCUUGGGACACUGUCAGGUGGGCAGUUUGACUGGGGCGGUCGCCUCCCAAAAGGUAACGGAGGCGCUCAAAGGUUCUCUCAGUACGGUCGGAAAUCGUACGUAGAGUGUAAAGGCAAAAGAGAGCUUGAUUGCAAGACAUACAGGUCGAGCAAGGAUGAAAAUCGGACUUAGUGAUCCGGUGGUUCUGCGUGGAAGGGCCAUCGCUCAACGGAUAAAAGCUACCCUGGGGAUAACAGGCUUAUCUCCCCCAAGAGUCCACAUCGACGGGGAGGUUUGGCACCUCGAUGUCGGCUCAUCACAUCCUGGGGCUGUAGUAGGUCCCAAGGGUUGGGCUGUUCGCCCAUUAAAGUGGUACGCGAGCUGGGUUCAGAACGUCGUGAGACAGUUCGGUCCCUAUCCGUCGCAGGCGUAGGAAAUUUGAGAAGACCUGUCCUUAGUACGAGAGGACCGGGAUGGACGUACCUCUGGUGUACCAGUUGUUCUGCCAAGGGCAUGGCUGGGUAGCUAUGUACGGAAUGGAUAAGCGCUGAAAGCAUCUAAGCGCGAAGCCAACUUCAAGAUAAGAUUUCCCACCGCAAGGGUAAGACCCCAGAAAGACUAUCUGGUUGAUAGGUCGAAGGUGUAAGUGCAGCAAUGUAUUUAGCUUAUCGAUACUAAUAGGUCGAGGACUUGACCAAU